Molecule: ribosomal RNA, 409 nt
Filed under: bacterium
Lineage: Bacteria
Description: partial 16S ribosomal RNA
Rfam family: Bacterial small subunit ribosomal RNA
Source: RNAcentral
UGGGGAAUAUUGCACAAUGGGCGAAAGCCUGAUGCAGCGACGCCGCGUGAGGGAUGACGGCCUUCGGGUUGUAAACCUCUUUCAGUAGGGACGAAGCGCAAGUGACGGUACCUGCAGAAGAAGCACCGGCUAACUACGUGCCAGCAGCCGCGGUAAUACGUAGGGUGCGAGCGUUGUCCGGAAUUACUGGGCGUAAAGAGCUCGUAGGCGGUUUGUCACGUCGUCUGUGAAAUCCUAGGGCUUAACCCUGGACGUGCAGGCGAUACGGGCUGACUUGAGUACUACAGGGGAGACUGGAAUUUCUGGUGUAGCAGUGGAAUGCACAGAUCUCAGGAAGAACACCGAUGGCGAAGGCAGGUCUCUGGGUAGUAACUGACGCUGAGGAGCGAAAGCAUGGGUAGCGAACAGG